Long non-coding RNA from Ictalurus punctatus (channel catfish), 1623 nucleotides. NCBI's taxonomy places the organism in Eukaryota, Metazoa, Chordata, Actinopteri, Siluriformes, Ictaluridae. The record is from Ensembl.
CUCGGGCUUCCGAGCUCAGAAGCACCGCACAUGCAGUUUUCCACUCGUGGGCGGUCCGUAGUGAAUGACUGACGGACACAAGCACAAGUGGGAGGGCCGGGUUUAAGAGUGGGCGGUCCCUACCUCGUGAGAGUUGCUGCAGUGUGUGGAGUGUGUGUCAGUGUGUCUGAGACCUGCUGGGUAGUGAGCUGGUGUGUUUGGGAACACACACACAAAAUUAUUGGGACUACAGGACUAGCAGCACAAUGAAGCAAGAGAGCCGAAGAUUAGGAAGGACACAUUUCUUACAGCAUGCAUCCAGUUACAUCUGUGAAGACUGCUUUGGUUAAAAAGGAUAAGCCAACAUGAAGAUCAGAGAGCUGUCUAUGGGAGAAAAGCAAGCAAUUUUGAAGCUGAGAAAAGGGGAAAAAUCAAUCCGUGGCACUGCACAAGCAUUGGGCAUAGCCAGUGCAACAAUUUGGAAAGAAACCACUGGUGUACCGAGCAACAGACACCAAAUGGGUCGGCCAAGGAAAACAAGAAGAUGGCAGAAACACUUGUGAGAGUUGUGAAGAAAAACCUAAAAACUACAGUCCGUGACGUCACCAACAACCUCCACAGGUGAGGGAUGAAGGUAUCACAAUCCACCGUUCGAAGAAGACUUCGACAGCAGAAAUAUAGAGGCCAUACCACAUCAGCGCAUUCUCAAAGUUUCUGUCAUCAGCUGCUGUCGGGGUCUGGAAAUUUACACUGACACAAUACAAAUCUAUUCCUUUCAAAUAUUACACACUGUUUUAAAGUCCAACAUCAAGACCAUCAUUGGAACAGUGAAAAAGUAACACUGUUCAGCAUUUCUUAUUUAUUUCCCUAAAUCAUUUUCCCCAAGGUGUAGAAUUGUCUUGGUGCCCAUGUACAAUAUCAUGAAUAAAGAAUAAAUAUGAGAACAGGUAAACCACGAGUUAAUUAGUUAAUUAAGUAGUAACAUUAUGAAGUAACAAGCAGAGCUGAUGUUGAGAACUGUAAGAAGCGCGUGUAUGAGACGAGACUGUGUGGCUUUUCGUGCAUAUACAGGUUGAAUUCAUUUAAUAUAGUGCUUGCAAGAUGCCCAGCGUUUACCAGACACAGCACCAUGGCUUGACUUUUUAAAAGUACGCCACUGGCGAAUAGGCGAUAUUUCAGUGUUAUAUAGUGGAAGGUGAGGUCAACAACAAAAAAAUCACUACAUCAAAGAUGAUUGCCAAACAGCUCUGGUUCAGUGAAACAUUAUAUUCAAUAAUGUUGAACACCCUCAGUCUGGAGUGAUUAAAUCGUUCUUCCAUGUGCUUCUGAUCAACCGUUCAAGAACAUCAACAAGGUCACAUGCUCACUGCGAUGCGCUCCAGCUGACAUCCUCAGCCAACGUACUUAAAGCCAGCUGCUCGAGAACUGAGUCAUCAGACCACUUUUUCCACCCCCUCUGGCUAAUCAAUAACUACCAAGGAUGUUUUAAUCUCGGGGGGCUUUUGAUAAAUCGACCUCCGAGUGUUCGCCACGUAUUUAAGUCUUAGCACACUCGUGUGUGUGUUUUUUUUUUUUUUUUUUUUUUUUUCUUUUCUUCUAGUGUUCUUUUUACACCUGAUUCACAUCAGGAAUGUGACAGUUCAG